UCCCUGAUGGUCCAGUGGCUAGGACUCGGUGCUCCUAAUGCAAGAAUCCUGAGUUCAAUCCCUGGUCAGGGAA
RNAcentral lists this transfer RNA (73 nucleotides) under Bos taurus (domestic cattle). It matches the Rfam family "tRNA". Rfam says of the family: Transfer RNA (tRNA) molecules are approximately 80 nucleotides in length. Their secondary structure includes four short double-helical elements and three loops (D, anti-codon, and T loops). RNAcentral also lists the same sequence under 3 other names. Lineage: Eukaryota; Metazoa; Chordata; Mammalia; Artiodactyla; Bovidae. The record is from Rfam by way of RNAcentral.